CACAGUGGAGGCCAGCCUCCUCCUCCACUGCCCCAAGGGGAACACCUACCACGGAGAGAGAACACUGCUCUAAGGGAUCGGAAGGACAUUUGUGGGUAACUGCCACAUGUGUCCCUUGCAAAAGGGUGGCUUGCUUCACAUUUUGCAGGCGCCAGGAUGACAGAGGUUCUGAAUAGCUGCGGACCAUAUGGGUUUAAAGACAAAGGAGGAAGCCUUUAGAUUUGUUUGUUCAUUUGUUUGUCUCAGCUAUAGAUAAACCAGUUUCCAAAUUUUAGCUUGCAAU
This is a long non-coding RNA of Mustela lutreola (European mink), 283 nucleotides long. RefSeq lists it as uncharacterized. The record is from RefSeq and is a predicted model, not a curated record. The transcript has 2 exons. Lineage: Eukaryota; Metazoa; Chordata; Mammalia; Carnivora; Mustelidae.